GAAAUGCGAUAAGUAAUGUGAAUUGCAGAAUUCCGUGAAUCAUCGAAUCUUUGAACGCACAUUGCGCCCUCUGGUAUUCCGGGGGCAUGCCUGUCCGAGCGUCAUUGCGAACCCCUCAAGCACGGCUUGUGUGAUGGGCCCUCCCGCGUCUUGGUCGUCAAGACGGGCCCGAAAUGCAGUGGCGGCUUCGCGGUUAUCCGAUCAGCCAGAGCGUAUGGGGACUCUCUCUCUUGUCACACGCCCGCGGCGCGGACCGACGCCUGUCGACCUUUAUUCAUCUUCUCUCGGUUGACCUCGGAUCAGGUAGGGAUACCCGCAGAACUUAAGC
This 328-nucleotide unclassified non-coding RNA is filed under the name plant metagenome. Its description in RNAcentral is "partial contains 5.8S ribosomal RNA, internal transcribed spacer 2, and large subunit ribosomal RNA". The stretch from base 1 to 104 matches the Rfam family "5.8S ribosomal RNA", at positions 50 to 154 of the family's 154-position model. The record is from RNAcentral.